UCCUUUAGCUUAGAGGAAUGUGAGGAAA
Molecule: non-coding RNA, 28 nt
Filed under: Mus musculus (house mouse)
Lineage: Eukaryota; Metazoa; Chordata; Mammalia; Rodentia; Muridae
Source: RNAcentral